Molecule: ribosomal RNA, 253 nt
Filed under: uncultured bacterium
Lineage: Bacteria
Description: partial 16S ribosomal RNA
Rfam family: Bacterial small subunit ribosomal RNA
Source: RNAcentral
UACGUAGGGGGCAAGCGUUGUCCGGAAUCAUUGGGCGUAAAGCGCGUGUAGGCGGUUCAGUAAGUCCGCUCUGAAAGCCCGGGGCUCAACCCCGGGAGGCGGGUGGAUACUGCUGAACUCGAGUCCGGAAGAGGCGAGUGGAAUUCCUGGUGUAGCGGUGAAAUGCGCAGAUAUCAGGAAGAACACCAAUGGCGAAAGCAGCUUUCUGGGACGGUACUGACGCUGAGACGCGAAAGCGUGGGGAGCGAACAGG